RNAcentral lists this long non-coding RNA (1494 nucleotides) under Macaca fascicularis (crab-eating macaque). RNAcentral describes it as "lncRNA (ENSMFAG00000058279.1)". The record is from RNAcentral. Lineage: Eukaryota; Metazoa; Chordata; Mammalia; Primates; Cercopithecidae.
GGAGGCAGGUUCCUAGGUGGGAAGGGGUGGGUCCCUGUUGAAACCCCACCUUCAAGCCAAGGACAGCCUGAAGCCUGGGGGCCAGGCUGCCAGUUUUAGGUAGAGCCCACAACCCAGACCGAGAACUCUAUUAAUGCAUUUUGGCCAAUUGGAUGGUGCUUUUUCCAGGCCCACUCUUCCUCCAUUCUGAGCACAUAAAAACCCCAGACUCAGCCAAACUUGAUACUCAUCAGGACAACCUGCCUGCAGAAGGGACCACUUGGGGUCUCCUGAGUGCUGUUCUGUCAUUCAAUAAAGCUCCUCUCUGCCUUGCUCACCCUAUAGUUGUCCAUGUAACCUUAUUCUUCCUGGACACAGGACAAGAACUCAGGACCUGCUGAACAGUGGGAGCGAAAGGAGCUGUAACAUGUUCCUGGCUGGCUUGCCAAGCUGUAGGUGGUGACACGCUCCCAGACUGCAGAAGAGAAGAGUGGUGACCCUUCUGGGGACCCAGACCUUGGGAUUCCCCGAGCUAGAGAAUGCUAUAACAUUAUAGCCUUCUUGCCUUUCACCGGCACCAGACAGCUGCCCCACAUGACAGGAGGCAGCAGCAGAGCCAGGCCAACUGAGGAGCCAUGGGCUGGAGUGGGGUGGUGGGACUGAAAGAGCUGUAACAUAAACAAACUGAAAUAACCCCCCCUUCCCCCACCAUCAGUCACCACACUGCAGGCAACAAGAAGAGCGGGAGCCCACACCUCGCGGCUCCUCAAGCCAGGGCUGUGACAUGCUCUAACACCCUCUUUGGGACUCGGAGGUUCCUGGCAACUCUGAGCUUUUGGGUUUUACCACGUUUCCCUUGCCCAGACACUGGUGCCUGCAGCAGAAGCUGGCUGUGGUCCAUCUGGUCCAGCUGCAGCCUUGCACAGAGCCGGUGCCUGUAGCUGCUUACCCUGCUGUAGCAGCCAGUGUGCCUGGCUAGGUGCAGUGGCUGGAACCUGCACUCACUUGGUCACACACCCCUCACCAGCCCAUGCCUGGCUUGCCCUUGGCAGGUAUGGGAUCCAGGCCAGCAGCACAAGAUGAACGCAGCCUGCCAGGCAGAGUGGGCAGAAUAAGCCCAGCAGACACGAGCAAAACUCCAGCAGAGGUGCUGCAGGCCAUGGAAGUUUCCAGCUGGCGAAGCGACAUCCUAAGAACCCUGUGACACUAUCCUUCUAGGUUUGCACACAUGGUUGAGGCAUGAAUUUCUAAUAAACUCAUGGUCACCUCCACCUAGCCAUCAAUAGCUACUAUUCAUUAAGUGCCCAGGCAUUUUACACUCAUCACCUUUAACUCUUUACUCAGGCAUGUGGCAAUGUCACCAUUUUAUAGAUAAGACCAUAGCCAGUAGCUAUAAAGUAUUAGGCUUGAACUUAGCAGUAGACUACAACUAUUUUCUGUUCACUUUCCUUGGCUGUUUUGAGAUGGAGUCUCACUGUGUUGCCCAGGCUGGCCCUAUACUUCUGGACUCAAGUG